AUUGAACGCUGGCGGCAGGCCUAACACAUGCAAGUCGAACGGUAACAGGAAGAAGCUUGCUUCCUUGCUGACGAGUGGCGGACGGGUGAGUAAUGUCUGGGAAACUGCCUGAUGGAGGGGGAUAACUACUGGAAACGGUAGCUAAUACCGCAUAACGUCGCAAAACCAAAGAGGGGGACCUUCGGGCCUCUUGCCAUCGGAUGUGCCCAGAUGGGAUUGGCCAGUAGGUGGGGUAACGGCUCACCUAGGCGACGAUCCCUAGCUGGUCUGAGAGGAUGACCAGCCACACUGGAACUGAGACACGGUCCAGACUCCUACGGGAGGCAGCAGUGGGGAAUAUUGCACAAUGGGCGCAAGCCUGAUGCAGCCAUGCCGCGUGUAUGAAGAAGGCCUUCGGGUUGUAAAGUACUUUCAGCGGGGAGGAAGGGAGUAAAGUUAAUACCUUUGCUCAUUGACGUUACCCGCAGAAGAAGCACCGGCUAACUCCGUGCCAGCAGCCGCGGUAAUACGGAGGGUGCAAGCGUUAAUCGGAAUUACUGGGCGUAAAGCGCACGCAGGCGGUUUGUUAAGUCAGAUGUGAAAUCCCCGGGCUCAACCUGGGAACUGCAUCUGAUACUGGCAAGCUUGAGUCUCGUAGAGGGGGGUAGAAUUCCAGGUGUAGCGGUGAAAUGCGUAGAGAUCUGGGAGGAAUACCGGUGGCGAAAGCGGCCCCCUGGGACGAAGACUGACGCUCAGGUGCGAAAACGUGGGGAGAAAAAGGAUUAAAUACCCUGGGUGGUCCAAGGGGAAAUCCACAGUGGAUAUGAGCUUGUCGAAACCGGCGCCUCAGUGGGAAGGCAGAAAGAAAAAGAUUUUGUUCCUUUUGUGGGGGUUAUUUAAAA
RNAcentral lists this ribosomal RNA (881 nucleotides) under uncultured Enterobacteriaceae bacterium. RNAcentral's name for it is "bacterial SSU rRNA". It matches the Rfam family "Bacterial small subunit ribosomal RNA". Lineage: Bacteria; Pseudomonadati; Pseudomonadota; Gammaproteobacteria; Enterobacterales; Enterobacteriaceae. The record is from RNAcentral.